CUUCCUCCCCCCUUCGAAUCUGGCAAAAACCCCGAAAAUCCAUCUUCCCCUCCAAUCUUCAGAUAACGAUAACCAAUGCCAGGAUUAUCACGAGGACCAGCGGUAUUGCGUGGACUGCCCAACUCUUCUUCUUUGAUCCUAAGGAUUUCACGAUGAUUUUUUCAAGAAAUUGCCAAGAUAUACCAAGCAAGAUGAUUAGCAUAACAGGGCAAGGCAAAGGCUCUACAGUAAGCCACGGGGGCACCGACAACACAGUUGGUGCCGAAGACCUAGCAUAGAACUCAUCAUCGACUCCAUUCAACUCAAUGGUGGCUCCAAGGGAAGUACUAUGGGGAAAAGGAAAAGAGCGGGAGGCGUCAAAGAACGAGUUACUUGAGACUUUCAAGAUAUUGGAGGGAGCUCUAUCGUCACUUUCUCCUGCUGGUUCCAUGCCUUUAAGAUGUCUGUGUGAGCUCUGUCGCAGUCGGGGGGUGGGGGGAGUUCGCGUAGGAGAGUGAAAACGUGAUUUGGGCAGGAGAGUGAAAACGUGAUGCACGUAGGGGCAGUUUGUGUAGGGAUAAAAUCUGGUGUAGGCAAGUGCGUAAAGAGCCCUCUAAUAGGCUGACAUGGCAGGAUGGGAUUGGUGGGCUGGUUAUGGCUUCAAACCAGAUGGUCUGGUCACAAGGUUUUCUCUAUAAAAAAAAAAGGAAAAGAAAACAAUUCUU
Long non-coding RNA from Carya illinoinensis, 704 nucleotides. RefSeq lists it as uncharacterized. The record is from RefSeq and is a predicted model, not a curated record. NCBI's taxonomy places the organism in Eukaryota, Viridiplantae, Streptophyta, Magnoliopsida, Fagales, Juglandaceae. The transcript has 2 exons.